RNAcentral lists this ribosomal RNA (468 nucleotides) under uncultured bacterium. RNAcentral's name for it is "partial 16S ribosomal RNA". It matches the Rfam family "Bacterial small subunit ribosomal RNA", at positions 28 to 507 of the family's 1533-position model. The record is from RNAcentral.
GACGAACGCUGGCGGCGUGCUUAACACAUGCAAGUCGAACCGAAAGGCCCUGCUUUUGUGGGGUGCUCGAGUGGCGAACGGGUGAGUAACACGUGAGUAACCUGCCCUUGACUUUGGGAUAACUUCAGGAAACUGGGGCUAAUACCGGAUAGGAGCUCCUGCUGCAUGGUGGGGGUUGGAAAGUUUCGGCGGUUGGGGAUGGACUCGCGGCUUAUCAGCUUGUUGGUGGGGUAGUGGCUGACCAAGGCUUUGACGGGUAGCCGGCCUGAGAGGGUGACCGGCCACAUUGGGACUGCGAUACGGCCCAGACUCCUACGGGAGGCAGCAGUGGGGAAUAUUGCACAAUGGGCGGAAGCCUGAUGCAGCAACGCCGCGUGCGGGAUGACGGCCUUCGGGUUGUAAACCGCUUUCGCCUGUGACGAAGCGUGAGUGACGGUAAUGGGUAAAGAAGCACCGGCUAACUACGUG